Oncorhynchus tshawytscha (Chinook salmon) is the source of this 372-nucleotide long non-coding RNA. The record is from Ensembl. NCBI's taxonomy places the organism in Eukaryota, Metazoa, Chordata, Actinopteri, Salmoniformes, Salmonidae.
UCCCUGGGCCUCAGCUAAAUGAGAGGACUGGUUAGAGUCAUUACCCACCCCUGUCUCCCUGGGCCUCAGCUAAAUGAGAGGACUGGUUAGAGUCAUUACCCACCCCUGUCUCCCUGGGCCCCAGCUAAAUGAGAGGACUGGUUAGAGUCAUUACCCACCCCUGUCUCCCUGGGCCCCAGCUAAAUGAGAGGACUGGUUAGAGUCAUUACCCACCCCUGUCUCCCUGGGCCUCAGCUAAAUGAGAGGACUGGUUAGAGUCAUUACCCACCCCUGUCCCCCUGGGCCUAGGGUAAAUGAGAGGGCUGGUUAGUGUCAUUACCCACCCCUGUCUCCCUGGGCCUAGGGUAAAUGAGAGGGCUGGUUAGUGUCAUU